RNAcentral lists this long non-coding RNA (19440 nucleotides) under Ananas comosus (pineapple). RNAcentral describes it as "long non-coding RNA (ACOM_LNC018864)". The record is from RNAcentral. Lineage: Eukaryota; Viridiplantae; Streptophyta; Magnoliopsida; Poales; Bromeliaceae.
UAUUGCGAUCUAAAAGUUUUCGGGUAUAAUCGAAUGCAAAAUUUUUUGAAAAUCUAUGGUAGAAGUAGCGGCCUCCACCAUCAACUGUGAUCGGAUUUGUACAAUAUUCCUGAGAUUUGAUGCUGAAAUAGUGUGUAAUACCUAAAGCGCGAUUACCAAUUCAUGAGCAAUUACACACUAUUUCGGCAUAAUCGUGAGAUUAAAUUGAUAAUCGUGAGCAACUACACAAUAUUCUCCUCGAUUUCAGUUUCACCCCUUUUUUUAAAAAAAAUUAUUUUGUUCUCCUUAUUCUCCUUUCAGUAGAAUCUCCUACUUGCAGUUGAAUGAAUGAAGCAUUUUUUAGCAAUUCUCUUAUGAAUCAAACUUAUUGCACGAGUUUCCCCCCCCAUUUUGCGAUAUAUUUUGUAAUAUCCCCUUGAGAUGAUAAUUAAAUUUUGGGAAAACUAAGUAUAUUAUUAGGCAAAAAUGAAGAAAAAAUAAUUCUCUAUGAUCUAAAAGAAAAUGGUGGUGCUGGAGAAGUCGAGGGACGACGUGUUGGUGCUGGAGAAGUCGAGGGACAACGUGGUGGCGGGGCCUCAGACGGACAAUGGCCUCGGCAAGCUCAGCGACCUCUCCAACAAGUUCUUGGCGGUUAAAGGAAAAGAGAGAGCUGAGAGAGCUGAUAAGGAAGUUGGUGGGGAACGGAACAAGGAAAAGACUGGUGAGAAGGAGGCAAAAGGUAAAGCUCGAGUUACAGAUUGGAAUGCUGGUAAAGGAGAGGAAAAAGGCAAAGCUCGAGGUUUAGAUCGGAUUACGGAUAAGAAGACGGAGCUCAAGAAGACAGGUGGUAUUGUCUGUUAUUCUCAUUAGCGUAAGGUGACGGGACCUCGCGGGAGACUUGCCUCUUCAUCGUCGCCGGCUACCCCUACAGCUAUUUCGACGCCGGUCCGUUCUCAAGGAAGGAAUGAGAGAUCGAAGGCUUUAGUCAAGAAGCCAGGAGUUAUUGCGGGCACCUACGCGGGCGUAAACAGGACUGAUGGAGGCUCAGCAUCUAAUAAGAAGGUGUUAUGGGCUGAUGAAGUGGGGUUGGCAUUAACUCACAAUGCUCUAGGUUGUUCUGAGGACCCUACUCUCAUACCUCGAUCAUCUGACACGUCGACGAUUCACACCAGAAGGAGAUCUGACACGGGAAUUGGGAAGACCAGACCCUCCGUCGCUUCAGGUUUAUACAAGACUUAUAAGGAAGCUCUUCUCACACCCACACCCACACCCCAGCGAGCCACCCGUAGCGGUCAGGGCGCCAAGUUCACUCCAGUCUUCAAAUCCCCGCCCACAUCUUUCUUCACGGGAAAGUGUUUCAGGUGCCUGGCUACUAAUCAUCGGGCGGCUAGUUGUCGAGCGCCACUCCAGUGUGUGCGGUGCUUCAAGACCGGCCACGUCGCAAGAUCCUGCGUGGACCGGUUGCCAAUGGUGGUCUACAGGGAGAUGAGGGCUCGACCGUCCUAUCUCAGUGCUUUUGUUCCACUGUCAGAAGAUUUCUUCUCCAGGCAGAAUCGCUGUCGCAACGCGAUUCUGGUCGACGUUCUUCCCCCCAAGAACCUUGGUCAUUUCCCUCAGGAGACGAUUGCCAACGGGUUGGCGAGUCGUUUCGGCGGCUUCCCUACCGACUUUCAUGUUGCCAAGUAUAGUCAACGUGAUUUUCUGAUCUUUCUCCCGGAGUGGGUGCCGGCGGAUCAGGUGAUCAGAAGAGAGAUUCUGUCGCUAGACAACCUUAGACUCCACUGCUCCCCCUGGAAUCCCUACCAUGGGCUUCGUCGGGCCUCGCUCAUGUACAACGUCUGGAUCCGGUUGGUAUGUUUACCAUAUGAGUGUUGGUCCUCUCGCACAGUGGCAGCUUUGGUUGGCGGUUUCGGUCGUUUCAUACGGGCGGACGACUUCUCGACACGCAUGGUGGAUCUCACAGGAUACCGAUGUCUCAUCGCUGUCAACUUCCUCUCCGACAUCCCGGAAAACUUAGAAAUCACUGUGGGGGAUCACUCGCUCUCGGUGCUUAUCCAGCUAGAGAGAUGGGGCCGGCGCGACGUGGUCGAUCCUGGCAAUCCCCCUAAUGAACGGACCGAUGCUCAUGACCCAUCGCAGAGAGGUCCAGAAGCGCAUCGCCGUUCAGACGAAUCUAGAAGAGGGCGACGUUCGUCGGCCGGCGGCUCUUCAAGUACGGACGCAUCCUGGAACUCGUCGGAAAUCCGGGACAGAAGGAGAGAUGUUCUUGUUCAGGAUGCUUCGCUGCUUCGGAAACCUGCUCCCACUCCGGCUGACUCCCAGCAGGGCCAGGAGGAUACGACUAGGCUGGGUCCGGCGAUCGUCGGCGCGAGUGGGCCAACGGUCUGGAAUUCAAAUUUGGCUGAUGUUGAUGUGGCAUUGAAUGCGAUCUCUGACGGGGCGGCGGGCGACGUUCCUUCGGAGGCAAAUGGAUUAGUUCUUGUCAAUGCUUCGGGUUUGGUGCCUAUGGGAGAUGCAAAGAUGAAGCAAUGCAUUGAUUACUAUAGCUGUGAAAAGCGGGCCAGCUUGAUUUCGGAGAUCUCGUCAUCCAUCUCGAGAACUGGGCAGGGGGUGGUCGUUUGCUUUCGCCCGAAGCGGGCCCACUUGAUCCCCCUAGGCAUUGGGCUCGGUACUGUUCCGCAGGCCAGUCACGCUAUUGAGGGGUGGGGCAGGCAGAUGGCCCACUUGGACCCGGUUUCAGAUGGCCUCGGGUUUGAUAAGGGGCUCGGGAGUGGUCUUAGUUUGCGGGCCACGCAUGUCUCUGGGGGAAGGGGUCAACUCGGCCCGCACGAAGCUGGGGGUGGUGGACGCGGCCCUCUUCCGUGGCCCUCUCACUUUUUUGCGGGGACGGGCAAGCAGAGGGUCCACUUGGUCCCGGGUGCAGACGGGCUCGGGACUGGAGUUGGGCUCGGCUAUGGAACCUUUGCGCGGAUGCAGACGGGCUCGGGACUGGAGUCGGGUGCAGAUGGGCCCGUGACCGGGGUCGGACUGGGCUGUGGUUUCUUUUCGCGGGCCACGACUGGCGCCGUGGGGUGGGGCCGACUUGGCCCGCGCGGAGUUUGGGCCUUUUUUCUGUUUUGGUGGGGGCCUACUGGAUUCUCUGUUGCCGGACCUGGGGGGAUCUGGCGGUUCUCUUUGGUAGCUGCUCCUUCGUUUUCGGGUUUCUUUGCCAUGCUUUUUCGCUCGGGACCCGAUCGCCCCCCCUUACUCCUCGGCCCGGUGGUUGGAGGGGAAGGCGGGGAGCCCCUCUCGAACGGCGACGUUGCCGUUCGGUCGGCAGGUGGACUGGAGACCUAUCAGAUAUUGGGGGCUGUCAAUAUGGAAUCGGCAUGUCGGGAAUGCGCACAGGAGCCCUCUCCCAUAAAUGGUACGGAAAGAUUUAAUUCCGGCUCGCCUGUGGCGGGAGUGAUCAACGGAACGAUGGUCGGGAAGGUACUCUUGUUGCCCGAUAACAGGGGCGUUUGUUCGCCGGUGGGGAUAGUAGCGGGGAUUACUUCUUUGCCCCCCAAUACUGUUCCCUUGACCGUUGAGACGACUACUGAGGUCGGGUUUCCCCAGUGUGUGCGCCGUCGUUCGACCAGAGCUUGUGUGAGGCUGAAAUCGGUAGGCAAUGUAUCGGCGCUUGACCGGGCGAAACUGAGGAAGGCUUUCCUGCUGGAAGGGGAGAACACUGGACCGAAGCCCGCAGACGACUCUCGGAUCAUUAGAAAAGUUGUGAAGAAAAGUGCGCUUUGUAGAGUCAAGCUUACGGGGGUGGAAGCCGAGGAGCUCCACAAGUUCUCGACGCGGGGUUGACCUGUAGUGGGCCUUUUUUUGUGUUUGGGCCGCCUUUUGGUUGUGUGUCGCUUUCCUUAUGUUUAAUAUUAUUACUUGGAAUGUACGCGGUCUGAACGACUCAUGUAAGCGUCGUAGUGUUAGAGCUAUCAUAUCUAAACACGUUGGUUCGGUGAUUUGUAUCCAAGAAUCAAAAGUGGAUUCGGUGUCUCGUUCCUUUCUCCGGUCUUGUUGUGGCUCGAGUUUCGACAGAUGUCACUUUAUCCCCGCUCGGGGAGCAUCGGGCGGUCUAUUCACUUGUUGGAGCUCAAAAUUUUUCGUUUGUACGGAGGCGUUGGUGCGCGAUCACUCGCUCACUCUCAGCUUGAAUCAUAUUACUAGUGAUACGAGCUUUUACCUUACGAAUGUAUAUGGACCGCCAUCGUGGGAUGGGAAAGAAGAGUUCUGCGCCGAGCUAGUCGCUAUCGGUGCGGUGUGUUCCGGAUAUAAAUGGGUUAUUUGUGGGGAUUUCAACUUUACUAGAAACCAGGCUGAACGCACUGGGAAUCGGGGGAGCACUAAAGCGAUGUCAAUGUUCUCGGACCUCAUUUCAAAUCUCGAAGUCAUCGACCUGCCCUUGUCCAACCAAAAUUUUACUUGGUCUAAUAUGCAACGCUCACCAACCCUGGCCAAACUGGAUAGAUUUCUUGUCUCGACAGAUUGGGAUCAAGGUUUCCCGCUCAGCAGGAUUUCCGCGCUACCUAGAAUUAUCUCCGACCACACCCCUUUAAUACUCGAUACUGGAAACUUGCGCACUAAGAGGACAUUUCGGUUUGAGAAAGUGUGGCUCACUAGGCCGGACUUCAUAAAUUACGUACCGAUCUGGUGGAACGAAGUACCCGGGCAGAGGUCAGCCAUCCUUACGCUGACAGCGAAGUUGAGACAUUGCAGAAACAGGAUGAAGGAAUGGUGCAAGACAAAAUUCCAUAGCAUAUCUAACGCAAUAAGAACUUUACAGGAUGAAAUUCGAAACAUUGAUCUCUCGGAGGAACGGGAUAUCUUGACCCAGGAAGUACGGGAUAAACGAGUUGAACUUAAAGCACAACUCCAACUCAUACUAAAGGAGGAAAAAAUCCUGUGGAGAACGAGAGCUAAACAGCACUGGCUAAAAGAAGGAGACAACAACACAAAGUUUUUCCAUGCAGUGGCCAAUGGGCGGAAGCGUUGUAAUGAGAUUCACUCCAUUGAAGAUGAGGACGGUAGACAAAUCUGUAACGAGGAGCAUAAGAAAUUCUGUUUCUUUCAAUCCUUUAAACGCCUUUUCGGGAGUGUGGAAGAUGACCCGCCUUCUUUCGGCGAUUGGGCGGACUUGUAUCGAGAGGACGCCUUACCUGACUCGGACCCCCUCACAUGCCCCUUCACUUUAGAUGAAAUUAAAAAGACUACCUUUCAACUGGGAAGUGACAAGGCGCCUGGCCCCGACGGCUUCCCGUUAAUUUUCUUUCAACACUUCUGGGAGACAGUAAAGGAUAACAUUCUUGAUAUAUUCAGAGACCUACAUGGCAUGGAUCUCUUCACGGGACCGGUCGACUACACGCAUGUAUGUUUAAUCCCCAAAAAGGAAGGAGCUCGCCUGGUUAACGACUUCAGACCGAUUUGCCUCCUGAACGGAAUGCAAAAGAUUAUUUCUAAAGUUCUUGCGAACAGACUUGCAGGGCUCUUACCAUCGAUAAUCUCUCCGUCACAAUCGGCGUUCUUGGAAAAUCGCCUAUUAGCGGACUCUUUCGCCACUGCGACCGAACUCCUCAACUGGUGUGCAAAAACUAAUAGGGAGUGUGUCAGUGUUAAGGUGGAUUUCGAGAAAGCGUAUGACAAAGUCAGCUGGAGGUUCUUGCAAAGUAUAUUACGUUGGCUUGGGUUUAGCGACAAAUGGUGGAACUGGAUCGAACAAUGUAUCUGUAACGCUAAAGUUGCCAUUGUAGUAAACGGUUCGCCGACUAACUGGAUGAAAACAAGGAGGGGACUGCGACAGGGGGACCUAUUGUCCCUCUACUUAUUCAUUUUAGUGGCUGACUGUCUCGCUAGGGUCACGAAAGCAGCAAGGACUAAUAGUUUACUUCAGGGAAUAGGACCCUCAGACGAGUGUCAAACUGUAAUUCUGCAGUAUGCGGACGACACUUUAUUCUUUUCAAAGCCUAAGAAGUCUGCUAUGCGUAAUCUACUUUUCAUCUGGAAGAUGUUUGAAUGGGCUUCUGGUCUUAAGAUAAAUAUAAACAAGACGGAACUUUACCACUUGGGAAUUACCGCAAACAGAGCGAAACGAUAUGCAGAUAUUUUGGGAUGCAGAGUCGGCAGCCUACCGUUCCGAUACUUGGGUCUUCCGCUACAUAUCAACCCCCUCCGUAAGGAAGAGUGGUCGCCGAUCAUCAACCGCAUUGAGACGCGCAUCGACGGAUGGAAGGCUAAACUCCUCUCGCAAGGGGGGAGACUCAUCUUGGUCAACUCGGUACUUUCGAAUCUUCCGUUAUUUUACUUUGCAAUCUUCAAAGUACCACAAUGGGUGUUGAAGCGAAUUGAAGCGCUUAGAAGAUCCUUCUUCUGGAAAGGGUGUUCCAAUAUUUCGGGAGGCUCAUGCCUUGUUGGUUGGAAAACGAUGUGUAGAAGCAAAAAAGAAGGAGGUCUAGGGAUAAAAGAUAUGGAAGCUAUGAAUAAGGCGCUUUUAGCAAAAUGGUGGUGGCGUUUCUUUAACGAGAAAAGCCUGUUAUGGGGGAGGUUAAUCACUGCAUUAUAUUACACCAGAAGAAGGCCGUUACGCGAAGGCAGAUCCUUUAGACCUUACUCAGAAUGGUGGAGAAGUGUAAUGAGCUGUCGAGACGUGUUCAAAAGUGGUGUUUCGUAUGCUCUUGGCAAUGGAAAAAAUAUCAGGUGGUGGUCGGAUAUUUGGAUCGAUGAAACCCCUUUUGGUACCCGAUUCCUACGAAUCUUCAGCAGUAUCACAAAUCAGGAAGCCACGGUUGCACAAUGUUGGAAUGAAAGAGGAUGGAGAUGGCGCUUCUUAACCAGAGACUUUGAUACUCAUACCAGUGGUCAGAAUAGCCAACAGAAGGCGUUGCUCAAAAACCUCCUCUCUCACUUUAGCCCGUCAAAUUCAGAGGAUAUACUAAAGUGGCGAUGGACCGCCAAUCAAACUUUUACAGUCAAAUCACUUUAUGAAUUCAUUACCGACGGAUGAUAGAUUGAUACUUUGUACGAUCAACUAUGGGGGUUAAAAAUUCCGCUCAAACAUAAAGUUUUCAUUUGGAUUCUACUUCGAAAGAGAUUACCUACGGCAGACAGACUGCUGCGCCGAGGGUGCAUCGUGGAUCAGCACUGUAGGUUCUGUGUGUUACUAGCCGAAACAGGUGACCACCUAUUCCACGAUUGUAUCGUGGUCAGAUUUCUUCGUUUUAAAAUAGGAGCCUUUGAGGAGGAGAAUUCGGAUGUGGGGGAUGCACGCCAGCUGUGGACACAGUUCUCGGAUAUCCCCGUGGCCGUUACAAGAUCAAAAUUGUUAACCAAGUUGGCGGCAAUUUGGUGGGUUGUUUGGACGGAGCGCAAUGGCAUUUGUUUCCGCGAGGUGCCCUUUAACGUGUCUAGGGCUCUCGAACGUGUCGCCGUGUUGAUCGAAGCCUGGAACGAAACACUUUGAAUCUCUCCCGACCUCGGUGCUUGGCCCUCUGCUCACCUUCUGUUUAUUUUGGAUUGUUGGUGUUUACUGGGUUUCAUGGACCUCGUUUUUGUUCUCUUGUUUUUUUACUAUUAUUUUCUUUCUCUUGUUCCCUCGGUCCGGAAGUCUUAGCUGCUUCCAAGUUGUAAGCUAAAUUCAUUUCGCUUAAUGAAUGAAGCAGGUAGCUUGCUACCUAUUUCUCAAAAAAAAAAAAAAAAAAAAAAAAAAAAAAAAAAAUCUCCACAGUAAACUUAGUUCAUCUACUAGUGUCGUUGAACGCUGAUGUAUUUCAUCAACUCUUGUUGUUUUAUGCAUUCUUAUUCCUUGAUCUAAGAGGGUGAAAAUUUUUAACAUUCUCAAAAUUAAAAACUACUAUCAUACCCAACUUUGAUUGUUGAGACGUAAGUUUAAGAUUUAUACUUCGAAAUAGUAGGCAACGUGAACAAAAUUAUAGGCAAGGUUCAGAAUUUUAGGCUUACUGUAGAUUGAUAGAGAUUAUUAAUUUAUUAUUGAACUAGCUACUAAUUAAUAAUAUCGGCUGAAGGGCCGAAAUCUAAAAUCCAAAUCUAAUCCAACUUAAGUAUAUUCGUAUUUCUCGGGCUGGGCCACUAAGGACGAUGAGAUUGGGCUGAGCUUUCGACCUUCGUACUCUCAAAUUUAUUGUAUUUGCUCAUGCUCAAUCAUAUAUUUUUUAGAACCAAUAGACUCGAACCUGUAUCCUCAUCGAGUUCCCUUUCGAUGGAGAAAUUAUUGUUUGUGUCGAGUCCAUCAUAUCAUCCAGUGGUUUGGAAUAUUUCAACAUACAUCUUAUCACUUUUUUAAAGAAAUUAAUAUGCUAAUUAAUAUCAAAUAUUUGAGCUUUGUCAACAGCGGUAUAAAGGUACAUGCAAUAAUUUAUCGUCUCCUGAAUUAUUCCCCCCAUAUCAGGCACAAAUAAUUGGACUCUUUAUCAAGAAUUUAAACACCGUCGUAUGGAAUUUUAUUGAAAAUUUUAUUGGCACGGUGUGGCGUGGUGAUUCCGAAAAUUUACGACACGUAUCAUGUUAUAUCAUGCCGAUGUGUGUUGGUCAUAAAAAAAAUAUAUAUAUNCAAAAAAUUUAUCGAUACGGUACGACACGUAUCAUGUCAUAUCAUACCGAUAUGUGCCGAUGAUAAAAAAAAAUAUAUGUAUCGACACAUAAUGAUAUAAAAUAUUUAUUUUAUUUAGUAAUAAAAAAAUUUAAUUUUUUAUUAUGUAUUAUUAUCAAAUUUUUAGAAUUUUAUUAAAGAAAUUAUUUACUAAUUUAAAUAAUAUAAAGUUUUAAGCUGUGACAUUGGUACGGUGGUUGUAUCGUAUCGAUAUCUUGUAAGCACGAUAUGGCACGACGGAUAUGAUCCGUGCUGAUGUGCACUUAAAUACUUACUCUUUAUCCCAUCGAUCGAUGGGCAUUUAAAUCUUUAUUCUUUAUCCCAUCUAUAUUUUCGUUGCUUUACUUUGUUUAAAAAAAUUAAAUUAGUUUAUAACAGUGCUAUCGGUACAUGUAAAAAAAGUAUAAAUUUUAUAUUUUUUAAAUCCAAGGAUCUUUAUUGGAUUCUUAUUUUAUUGUUGUUUAUCAUGCUAAAAAUUAAAAAAAUUUAGGAUGAGCCUUGUACAAGUAGAGUAUUUAAAACAUUAUAUCUUUUAUUUUAUAAAUAAUAUCACGUUAUCAAAUUGGUAUAAUUAGAACUUUUUUUCUUGGUCUCAUAGGAAAACAAAGAGUGUCUUUAGAUGUUUUUGUCUCAAUUUCUUUUGGUGCUAGGUGAUCUUUAAUUAAAUAGAAAAUAAUUAAAUACAUUGGGCGCAAUCUCCGGUUAAGAAUAUUAAUUUUGCUUUAAAUUUUGUGCAUUACAUAAAUUUAAUGUUCUCUUCAAUAAAUUUUUAUUUUGCUGUUAAACUUUUUUUUUUUUUUCCUAUCUUAUACUUAGGGUAUGUUUGAUUCACCGAAAAUAAAGUAUCGAAAAUGACAUUUUUAGAAAGACGUUUUAUUGGUUGUUUAGUUUACGAAAGUGAAUAUAAAAGUCACUUUACGAAAAUGAGCUUAUAAAGUUAGUUAUAACUAAAUUUCACUUUUUUGAUUUCAGCUUAAAAAAUUUGGAAGUCACCGAAAAUAGAGAAAUUAACUAAGAGAUUAUAUUUGAUCUUAACUUUAAUAUUUAAAUUUAUUUUUAAAGUUCAAUUUCGCUUUAAAUUUGAAUUAAAAAUUAUGAUUACAUUCUAAAUUUUAUUUGUAAAUUAACAUUCAACAUAAAAUUCGAAUUAUGAAUUAAAAUGUUCAAUUCGAAUUGUGAUUUAAACUCAAAUUUUAAUUUUAAUUUAAUUUAAAUAUUGAUUUAAAUUGUGAAUUCAUAUUUGAAUUUAGAAUUUAAGAUCAAAGAGUAAAUUAAUAUAUGAUUCAAAUUAUAAAUUAAAAUUUUGAAAUCAAAUUUGAAUAAAUAUUUUAAUUUUUGAGUUGAACAUUUUUUUUAAAAUGUAUUUUCUGUUAUAAGUUAUAACUUAAAUUUUAAAUUCAAAUUGUAAAUUAAAUUUAUGUCUUAAAUUUUAAUUAUAAUUUCAAUUCAUAUUUACGUUUAAAUAUAAAAUAUAAUAUAAAUAUAAAUAUAAAUAUAAAUAUAAAUUUUUAAUUUAAAUUGCCCGUAUAAGUCGUUUGUUUAUUUUUCACAUCUUUGUAUAUAAUUUUAAUUGUUUAUUUUAUAGCCGACCAAAUAAUCGAAGUGAUAAGUCGACUCUCUAAAAGUCAUUUUUGUAAAAUUUCGUUUUUUAAUUUCACUCAUUUUUGAGCAACCAAACAUGCUCUCAUGGAAAGUAUUUACUGUAACUAGUAUAACAUAUAGAAUAGAGCAAUAUUAGGUGUACACUUCUAGAUUAGGUGUAAAAUGUAUAUCCGACUCAUCCAGUUGCCCUUUUUUUUUUAUUAAUCAUGUCAAGUAUUUUUUUUUAAUAUUAAAAGUUUUUAUAAAAUUUGUGAAUCCUUAGGUAGUGUUUGGUUCGGGAACAAGGGGGGGAAUAAGCCCUUGUUCCCCCCUUUGUUCCCAAACGCAAUUUUGGUUCCCGGAAACAGUAGUUCCUGGGAAUCUGGAACUAGCUGGUAUAAGGCUGGAACUGCUGUUCCACCCGUUUCCUGGAACAAGCUUGUUCCUUGAUGAGAACAAGAUUAAUUAAAAUCUAAAUUUAAUUUUAAUGGCAGUAAAUUAUUAAUUAAUCUAAUUAAUAUAUUUAAAUUAUUAUUUAUUACUUUAAUAAUUAAAUAAUUUAAAUAAUUUAUUAUUUAUAAUUAAAUAUUAAUAAUUAGAUAAUUAUUAUUAUUAAUUUAUUAUUUAUAAUUAAUUAUAAAUAAUUAAUAAUAUUCAUUAUUUUUUUAUUAAUAAUUAUUAUUCUUAAUGACAAUCGAUAUUAUUAUUAAUUUAUUAUUUAUAAUUAAUUAUUAAUAAUUAAUAAUUAUUAUUAUUUAUUAUUAAUUAUUAAUAAUUUUUAUUCUUAAUAAUUAGAUAAUCGAUAUUAUUAUUAAUUUAUUAUUUAUAAUUAAUAAUUAAUAAUUAAUAAUAAUUAUUAUUUAUUAAUAAUUAAUUAAUAAUUCUUAUUCUUAAUAAUUAGAUAAUGGAUAUUAUUAUUAAUUUAUUAUUUAUAAUUAAAUAAUAAUAAUUAUUAUUAUUUAUUAAUAAAUAUUAAUAUUAAUUAUUAUUAAUAAUUAGAUAAUCAAUAUUAUUAUUAAUUUAUUAUUUAUAAUUAAUUAAUAAGAAUAAUUAAUAAUUAUUAUUAUUUAUUAAUAAUUAAUAAUAAUUAUUAUUAUUAUUAAUUAGAUCAUCCAUAUUAUUAAUUUAUUAUUUAUAAUUAAUUAUUAAUAAUAAUUAUUAUUUAUAAUUAAUUAUUAAUAAUUAAUUUCUUAUUUAUUUUUAAGUAAUAUUUUUAUUACUAUUAAUUACAUAAUAUAAUUUUAAUUUCAAAUUAUAACUCUUAUUCCUCUUGUUCCAAUCUAACCAUCCAAACACUAUUUACCUUAUUCCUAGGAACAGCUCAAUUUUCAUCCAAACGCAAAAUUGGUCUAGUUCCUGCUUAUACCUGAACUUGUACCUAUCCCUAGAACUAGCAGUUCUUACUUAUAUCCGAACCAAACGCAGCCUUAGAUGAUAACGGGCAUGAAACGUACAUUUAUAUAUACAAUAUACAUAUAGCAUCUUCGUACAUAGAUAUUUUUAAAUUAAUUAUACUAUAACAUGGAGACAACAGAGAGGCAAAUCAAAUAUAAUAUAAUAAUUUUAUAUUAGCUUGAUAUUUUAAAAAUAUUUAUUUUCAUAUUUUUUUAUACUAUGUCAAAAUAUUUAAUAAAUUUUAUUUUUUUAGAGAAAAAUAAUAUAUUAUCUAUUUCGUUUAUUUUUAAAAAAUAAAAUUAGAUAAAAAUAUAAAUUAAUUAGAAUUCGAAUUAAAAAUUUUAAAUACCAAACAUCAAGGUUUUAAUAAAUUUUGUUAUUUUAAGACGAGGGUUAGUUUUAUAACUCAUUUCAGGUUGUAGGUUAUAACCUACUUAAAAAAAAAAAAAACUUUAGUUUAAUGUGGAAUAAUAAAAUUAAUAAGAAUGGGCACGGACUCCGGAGAGGACAUUUCUCCAUGCUCACCCAUAUCUUCCUUUCCUCUAUAUAAGUACCCAGCUUAGCAACAAAAGAGUAGCACCACAGAUACUGCUACCUGUAUUGCUACUACUGCUAUUGUGGCAACCAUGACAUUCACCAACUUGCUCAAGUUCUCCUCCUUCACUCUCCUUGCCCUAACUCUCCUCCACCGCUUCCUCCCAUCCCCCCCACUCCUCUCCUCGCUUUCCCACCGCCACCACCUCCUGCUCCUCCUCUCCUUCCUCUCCUGCACCCUCCUCUACCUCUACACCCGCCGCCGCCCCCUCCCCGUCUUUCUCUUCGACUACUCGUGCUACCUCCCCGAACCCGAACGCCGCAGCCGCCGCUUCUCCCACUCCACCGCCGACUUCAUGCGCGCCAUCUUUCUCAAAUCCGGCCUCGGCGACGAGACCUACGCUCCCCCCUAUAUCUUCCAAGAGGACUACGACGCCAAGUUCCGCUACGCCUUCCAAGAGGCCGAGGAGGGCAUGUUCUCCGCCGUCUCCUCUCUCCUCUCCAAGACCGGCAUCCCCCCCUCCGACAUCUCCGUCCUCAUCGUCGCCUGCAGCAUGUUCAGCCCCGUCCCAUCCCUCUCUUCCUUCCUCGUAAACCACUUCAACUUCGACCCUUCCGUUAAGACCUACAACUUAUCCGGCAUGGGGUGCAGCACCGGCACCACGUGCUGCGACCUCGCCGCCAAGAUCCUACGCAGCAAGCCCGGGCACGCUCUCAUCGUCGUCACCGAGAACAUGAGCUUGAACUGGUACUUCGGCGAGAACCGCCACAUGCUCGUCACCAACUGCAUCUUCCGCGUCGGCACCGCGGCCAUGCUCCUGACCAGCGACCCAAUCCGGCGCUGCUCCGCGAAGAUGGAGCUCGUGCGCGCGCUGCGGACGCACCACGGCGCGGAGGACGCGGCCUACAACGCGGCGGUGCAGAUGGAGGACGAGGACGGCAGCGUCGGCGUGUCGCUCAGCAAGGACCUCGUCCGCGUGGCCGGGGCCGCGCUGCGCCGCCACAUCUCCACCCUGGCGCCGCACGUGCUCCCUGCGUCGGAGCUCCUGCGGUAUGCGUGGAACGUUGCGAGGUCGUAUGCGGCGGGGGAUCAUAAGACGGUGCACGUGCCGGACUUCACGAAGGCGUUCGAGCACAUAUGCAUACACGCUGGGGGGAAGGCGGUGAUCGACGCGGUGGGGAAGCUGAUGAAGUUCUCCGCGGAGGUGACGGAGCCGGCGAGGAUGUGCCUGCACCGCUUCGGGAACACGUCGAGUAGCUUGGUGUUCUACGAGCUCGCCUACUUUGAAGCGAAGGGGAGGAUAAAGAAGGGGGAUAGGGUGUGGAUGUUGGCGUUCGGAACGGGGUUUAAGGCGUGUAGUGUGGUGUGGAAGGCUCUUCGGGACUCCGGGAUGGACUCGGAUAGCCCGUGGCAAGAGUGCAUCCAUAGAUACCCCGUUAAUUAAAAAAAGAAAGUUAUCGCCUGCACCCGAUGCACCCUACCCUAUAUUACCCCGUGCAUGCGUACCAUGCAUUCGUCAACUCUCAAAUCCUCUGAGGCCUAAGUUUGAAAACGUGGUGAAAAACAAAACUUGGAGAAUACUUCAUAACUUUUCCCAUUCCAUACUAUAAAAUUGCGAUAUAAACCAUCGCUGUGUACUCUUUUUUAUGUAGUAGUGAUCUUUGCUACCAAAUUAUUGUGUCGUAAAAAAAAAAAAAAAAAAAAAAAUCCAAGUUAUUCCGAUCCCCUCUAGAUUGUCAAAACACCUGUGUUUAUCUACCACAUUGUAAACCAGGCUUCAGUUUUAUUCUGAAUUCCUAUCGUCCGUUGUCUUACGUUGUAUUUUUUUGGUAAAAGUUAGAUUGCAUGAUUCGGGUGCAGUGCACAGAUGUAGACGGGGAGAGACAUGGGAAUGAAUGGUUGAAUUUGAAUUAUUUCUGCAAUAAAGCGUCUUAUGUACUACACUAUAUCAUCCAAUAUUAUCUACUAGUGCUUUCCGUAUGUUUGUACCGUGUCAUAUAAUCUUUGCAUUUACUACAUCGUUAAUGUUCUUUUCGUUUUAAAGAAAAUUACAAAUCUAUCAAAGUUCGUCAUAGCACAGUAAUGAUCUUUGCCCGAAUGAAGAUCUUCGUGUUAGACGUCUUAAAUUUUUAGCAUUGCGAUCUAAAAGUUUUAGGGUAUAAUUGAAUGAGAAAUUCUUUCAAAUUCUAUGGUAGAAGUAGCGGCUUCCACCCUCAAACAUAUUGAAAGUCCGGAGAAUAUUCUAAUUUUAAUAGAUUGUGUUUGCUGAUAUAUUUAUAGCUAUUCUUUUUGUGGGCUUUUUUCUUUUCCUGAUAGGUCAAGCAUAGAUGUAUUUAUAUCUAGGAUCUUUUAGAAGCCUGGUGAUUUUAGCACUGCACCUUUUGAGUUAUAAUAAAUACUUCGAUCUAUUCUUACUCGCUCAGAGAUAUAGUCUAAUGAUUGAAUCAUAUAAAAUGUUUAUUUGACCGUUUUAUUUCUUUAUUUUUAAUUAUUUUUAAUACUUUAUGUAUAAGGAACUAUCUUCUUUCUUCUUUUUUUCUUUUUUUUUUUCGCAUUUUCGUGUGACAAUGCUUCCCAUUAGUAUACUAUACGAUCAUUCUUUAGUAUCUAUUCGGAUGCUCCCCACUAGCAACCUUAUUCCCCCUGUGGGUUGGUAUCACUUGGUUGCAACAACAAAUAGAAAAUGUGAGAGAACACCAACAGGGGAGGUGUGUUGCAGGGAAGUAAUGCAGUCACUGCGCACAAUAAAGUGAUGUGAGUGAUGACAACUGUGAGAAGGUCAAUUAUUUGUGCCGCUUCAGUUUUGGUAGGGCCAAGAAAGAUGAAUUUAUUUGAACUUCAAACCCUAAGACUAAGAGCUCCCAUGUCAGAGCUAGGCAUGCACGCGUUGUCUCUUUUCUUGUGAAAAUGGAAGUGCCUUAAAUUCCAUUUGGACAAAUUUAGCUUGUAGAGAAUUUCAGGUGGUCAAAAUUGAGCCCAAAAUCUGGGAAGGAGAUUCAGAUGUGGGCAAUUUGCUAGUUCAUUAACAGCCGAAUAUAUUUUAGUUUUUUUUUUUAGAAAAGAUAGCAAGUACGUUACCUACUUCAUUCAUUGAAAGAAUGAAUUAGGCUACAUGGGUGAAGCAUGUAGGGCCUCGAAGGAAUAUAUCUUAGUUAUUCGCAUCUAUAUAGGCAAACUUUUCCCGAAAUAAUUUUCUUUGUAACCAGAAUUUUGUAUAGGAUUUGCACGUUAAUUACUUAAUAGUCUCAUUCAAUCCCGCGAAGUUUUAUCGAGUUUUAAUUGAUAACGAUAUGGUAAUUUUAGAUCGAAAAUAGGUCAAAUAUUUGUUGAAUAUUAGCAUUACUACAUAAAAUACAUGCUCUUUUAUGGUGAAUAAUAAUAUAUCAUCGAUAGGUCUAUAUAAAUUAUGCGCCACGUUCGAGUAGGAAGGGACUAAGUAUAUCGGUAUAGAUUUUUCUUUCCAUUUACUACUGUUUGGGCAUGCAUCAUUGAUUGCAUUCGUACUCAUAUUAAUAAAUAAGAGUAGAAUUUGGAUCCAAAAAACUUGUACCCUCCAAGAAUCUACUCAGAAGAUGCUGGGGAGAAGCAUAAACCUAAGACUUCUACGACCCUACAAGAAUUUUUCUUAUUGAGAAAAAGAUAGUGCAUCGCCUGCUUAUUUAGCUAUAAUUGUGAGACAGCAAGGAAUUGGAUAGAGCGGAAGGGAAUUUUUAAAAAUUCAAAUGUCAGAAAUAUGAACAACCUCUUUAGAACAUGUCACUAAUAAGAAACUGCGCCCUUUGAUUCUUUAGUUGGCAUGUUUGGGUACCAACACUGUAGUUUGGUGGUUGUUAAUGAAUUCGCAUUGAAGAGGGGGAAUCGGAUUGUACACACGUAAUUGAUUGGGGUGAGCAAAUGGGGAGUUGGGGGUGCAGUGAAGGGAAGUGAAUGCGGAGACAUGGGAACAGCCUAGCCAUAACAAGGACCAUUUAUUGAAGGGAUGGAGAUGUAAACCAACAAAAUCGCAAAAAGAACAUGGGGGAUGCUCUCGCUAAACUAAAUUAAUUGAAGCUAAACUGAAUUAAUUGCUCGUUAGAGUUGAUAAUUAAUGACAUUAUGAUAAUUCCCCCCACCAAGGAAAGGGUUUAACAAUAAAGAAUGUAUCAUUAGAUCGUAUGAAUUAUUUGUGGCAAAUUUAAAUCAUAAGAAUGAUGUGUUUUCUUAUAUAUAUGCCUGUAGUGUACCACUAGAACUGUGGCAACUUAAUUGCUCAUCAGAAUUGUACGGUGAUUGGCCAUGUUACACUUAUGAGGGCGGAGAAUGUUACUUAUUUUUAAUUAAUAUGUUGUGCCAUAAUUCAAUUAUAUGGCGGUUUUACUUUCGUGACCCAACGUGCACCAUCACUAGGCAUUUUACAAAAAUCUUUUGAGAUGCUCAGUUCAUUUAACCUAAUGAAUGAAGCAGGUAGCUUGCUACCUAUUUUCUCAAAAAAAAAAAAUCUUUUGAGAUCAUUCUCUUUUGCUCAUCCUAUUCAUUCAGUAAUGCAGGAUUAAUGCAGGAUUGCUUAUAGGUUACGUUUGAUUAGCGCUAUUUUUUUUAAAAUUUUUAGUAAUUCAAUAGGAAUGAAAAAAAUAUAACGAUAUUUGGCUAAACGUACUAAAGAAUUUAGUUUAAUGUUGAAUUUACUUAGAAAUAAGAUUUAUUCUAAAAUACUAAUCUUAUUUCUUUGUGUAAGGAUGAAUGUCUUUAUAUUAAUAGAUUGUGAUGAUUAGUUCAUUUUUUUUCUCUCUCCCAACCCGUUGGCUUGUUGGUAUUAUUUUUUUUUUUUACUCUCUAACUCCGUAGCUCUGAUUUUAUCGUUUUCUCUCUAAACUUUUUUUUUUUUUCCUCUCUCUAAGUUAACCACUCUCUCUUCCUCUCUUUUUAAAAUCUUAAUUUUCUCACUCACUCUAAUCUUGACUUUAUUUCUCUCCCUCUAUCUUUAAUGUCAAAUCGCUCUCUUUAAGCUAACCUCUUCCCCCCCUUUUUAUCUCUUCACAUCUGUAAUCUGAAAAAUUCUCUUUCUAAUCUUAGCUCACUCUUCCUUUNAAUAAUAAUAAACAAAAUAGACAACUAAUAUCUUUUUGAGUAGAAAGAGAGAGAAAUUUAAGCUAACCUCUUCCCCCCCUUUUUAUCUCUUCACAUCUGUAAUCUGAAAAAUUCUCUUUCUAAUCUUAGCUCACUCUUCCUUUAACUUAAAUUUCUCUCUCUUUCUACUCAAAAAGAUAUUAGUUGUCUAUUUUGUUUAUUAUUAUUUGAUCAAUAAUAUUUUAACUGAUUUUUUUAAAAAAAAUGUUGAAAUUUUUUAUAGUAUUAUUGUAAAUUAAUUAACGAAACAAAUACAUUGUUUCUAAAUCUUAAAUAAUUUGGGCGUGUGAACUAAAUACUAAAAUGUCACAUUUUUUGUAAUAGAAUGAAUGAGAAUAAGAUCUUUGAAUAUCUUUUUAUUAUUAAUAAUUUUUUAUAGUGUAAACCAAACGUGUUCAUAGUGCAGAAUUAUUUUUAAAAUAUUACAAAGGAAAGGAUGGAUAUCUUGAAUUAAUAAUUACAGAUUACUUUGUAAUUUAUACAAAAUUAUAAAAUUAUUCUUCUUCUCUCUCCAAACCUUUUCUUAUCUCUCCAUUUUACUCAUGGAUACCUCAAUCCUCUUCUCUACCUCUCUAUUGGGAGGUUUUAAUGUAUUUCUUCUAUCUUUCUCUCUCCGUCCCUCCCUAUCUAUCUCUUUUCAUUUCAAGUGCAAAAGUCUUAAAAUUUAUAUAGGACAACUUAAAGAUAGUGAUUUUAUAUGUACAAUAAUUUAAUAUUAUAUUAUUGUACUAAAUUAAAUGUAAUAAGCCGUAUUGGCAGCAAAUUGGUUCACAUUAAUCAAACUUGUGGUUUAUUGCCGUAUCUAAGAAUAUUGCAUUGUGUGAACCAAGCACGCCUUACGUGGUCACUCUCUUUAUUAUGCGAAAUAUUUUCUGAACCAUUUUAUAAAAUACAUGAGGUGGCCAAUCACAAAAAUUGGGCACUUUUGCCUUGAUUUGGUUCGGAUUUAUUAGCACAAAAAAUUUGGUGGGGAUUGGUGUUAAUGUAAGACCAUUCUAUUUAUGUUUCAUCACAUGAAUUAGAUGAAUCUAAAGGUCUUCGGUUGGCACAUGGGACGGUCCAACGUUGAAAAUGAUUGCUCUUCGUAAAAAUGAAAAAACUAUUUUUUUUUUCUUAUAUAAAUUUAUAAUAAUUUAAAUAUUAAUUAAGCAUAAUUUUAAAUUUAAAAUAAUUAUAUUUUUUUAAAAAAAAUGGUUUAUUGUUUUAUAUGACUCAAUAAAUUUUUUAUAAGACACCACGCGGUAGCGCAAGAGGUGUGUCUGUUGGGGGCCGGGUUUUUUUUUUUUUGAAGUUGAGGUUAUGAAAUUUGCUCCAUAGCAUCAAAUAUAAGUAGACUGCAAGUUUGCAUGGAAGUACCAAUAUGAAAGAUUUCAUAAAAUCAUCUCUUCACAAAAUAUACAUGCGUACUGCGACUAAUAAGUAUUACAACAUUGUUAUCUAUUAGUUUUUGGGGCUACUAUACUUUUAUGAGUAUAGACCACCUUAUACUCAUAAAUUUUUAACCGUUGAUUGAUAGGAUGUGUGGUUAAGAUGAUGGUGGUCCUUACUUAGAAUGAUAGUGGUUCUCUAGGGUUGAGUGGGUAGUUGGUUGAAUAGUAUAAUCUAAUGGGUGAAAAUGAUCAAUGGAAUAAAUCUAAGGGCCGAAAACUUAUGAGUAUAAGGGAGCCAAUACUCAUAAAAGUAUAGUAGCUGGACUCUUAGUUUUAGUUUCUAGAAAAGAAAAAUAAAUUUUGGUAGGUGGAAAUAGAGUUUAGUUUGAUUAGAUGUAAUUACAAAUAUAGUAUAAUUAGAGAUGCAUGCAGUUAAAAAUGUAGUAGUUAUAAUUAUAUGCAUUAUAUUUGGUUGGAUUUAGUAAAAAGCGUUGUAACUAUAAAUAAUUUGUUUGGUUGCAUACAGUUGAGAAAUAAUUUUUAACAUUUUAUCAUUUUAUAUAUAUAUGAUGGUGAGAUUAUCUCUAAUGUAAAAAAAAUUAUUUUUUGUUUAAAAAAUAUUUAAAGAGAUGAUAUUAUCUUUUGUUUAAAGUUAUACUUUCUAACUGUUGCAGUUGGAAUUGUGGCCAAUUUAGGUGUAGUUCAAAUUGCUACAGUUGGACCUUCUGCAGUUCCUACUGCAGCAGUUGAAGUUAAAUGUAGCAAAUCAAACACCGAAUUUGUAUUUGUAUAUAGUUACAAUUGCGUGCAGUUACAACUACAUGUAACCAAAUGGUCUCUUAGAUUUA